This 69-nucleotide transfer RNA is filed under the name Marmota marmota marmota (Alpine marmot). It matches the Rfam family "tRNA". Rfam says of the family: Transfer RNA (tRNA) molecules are approximately 80 nucleotides in length. Their secondary structure includes four short double-helical elements and three loops (D, anti-codon, and T loops). Further hydrogen bonds mediate the characteristic L-shaped molecular structure. tRNAs have two regions of fundamental functional importance: the anti-codon, which is responsible for specific mRNA codon recognition, and the 3' end, to which the tRNAs corresponding amino acid is attached (by aminoacyl-tRNA synthetases). tRNAs cope with the degeneracy of the genetic code in two manners: having more than one tRNA (with a specific anti-codon) for a particular amino acid; and 'wobble' base-pairing, i.e. permitting non-standard base-pairing at the 3rd anti-codon position. Lineage: Eukaryota; Metazoa; Chordata; Mammalia; Rodentia; Sciuridae. The record is from Rfam by way of RNAcentral. RNAcentral also lists the same sequence under 1 other name.
GGGGUUUUAGCUCAGUGGUAGAGCACUUGCCUAAUGUGUAAGGCACUGAGUUCGAUGCUUAGCACUUCA